UUCCGGCGGCGGCCGUUCUAGCCGGAGCCGUCUCUAUGGCCGCCGCGUUUUGCGAUGUUUAUUGUCGCGGGGACAGGGCCCGGGACCCGGAACAACAAAGAGCGAGAGCGACGGGGCGCGUAGCAACCGGGCCGCGCGCGGCGGAGCCGGGGACACUCAACCGCCGGCCCACGCGAAUGUGAUCUUCAUGGUGUGCUGGUGGGGAAUUUGAGUUUUCAACCACCCCAAUGGAUGCAGACAGUGAUGUUGCAUUGGACAUUUUAAUCACAAAUGUAGUGUGUGUUUUUAGAACAAGAUGUCAUUUAAACUUGAGGAAGAUUGCAUUAGAGGGAGCAAAUGUGAUCUACAAGCGUGAUGUUGGGAAAGUAUUAAUGAAGCUUAGGAAACCUAGGAUUACGGCCACAAUUUGGUCCUCAGGAAAAGUUAUUUGCACAGGAGCCACAAGUGAAGAAGAAGCUAAAUUUGGUGCCAGACGUUUAGCUCGUACUUUGCAAAAACUAGGUUUUCAGGUAAUUUUCACAGAUUUUAAGGUUGUCAAUGUUUUAGCAGUGUGCAACAUGCCCUUUGAAAUCAGAUUGCCAGAAUUUACGAAGAAUAAUAGACCUCAUGCUAGUUAUGAACCGGAGCUUCAUCCUGCAGUGUGCUACAGAAUAAAACCUCUCAGAGCUACCUUACAGAUUUUUUCAACAGGAAGUAUCACAGUAACGGGUACUUUAUGAUGCCAAAAUAAAUAUUUAACUUACUUUCUUUCAUGGGAGUUCAGUUAGACUUUGAAAGCAACAGAGAGACAGGGCCAAACGUAAAGGCUGUUGCCAGUGCUGUGGAACAGAUUUACCCAUUCGUGUUUGAAAGCAGGAAAGAAAUUUUAUAAUUCACCACUUAAUGGUUAGGUUCCCUAACCAAGCACCUUCAAAGACUGCUGCACAUUGGACUAAAAGCAAAAAAAGGAAAACUGGACCAACAAUAGCUGAGGAAAUACAGACUCUUUUACUUGUUCAUGGCCACAGUGUAAACUCCAGUCCCUUUGGAUUUUAUUUUGAACAGUGCUGUAUUGUAAAAACAAAAGUUUACAAGAUAUGAAAUUGCUGCUUUUAAAAAGACGUUCUAUUUAUUUUUGCAGUAAUUUCUGUGUAUUCAUAAGUGAACCUGUCACGAUGUGCACUACCUUUCAAACAUUUUUUUAGUUUGAGCUUGUGUUUUAUUUGUGAAUAGUCUUUUACAUUUUUGUAUGCUGAAUAUUGGGCACCAAAGAAGCUGUAAAAGUUACCUUUUUCACUUGAUGAAUGUGCACAAAUAAAAAUUUGGAAAAUAUCUCUCUUAA
Molecule: RNA transcript, 1321 nt
Organism: Chrysemys picta bellii (western painted turtle)
Lineage: Eukaryota; Metazoa; Chordata; Testudines; Emydidae
Gene: TBPL1
Gene name: TATA-box binding protein like 1
Source: RefSeq, a predicted model, not a curated record